UAAAAUAAUGGUUCUCUAGGUUGAGUUUUAAAAUUUUAUUUUAAAAUUCCUUGGAGAAUUCCAAUCAACCCCUAUGUGCACUGUAAAUGUUUUUCGAGUACUUUUUAUGAAAGAGUACUCGACCAUAUUUAACAACCCCAAUUUUUAAUUUGUCUGAAUUUUUUUUAUAAAAUAAAAAAAUA
This 182-nucleotide unclassified non-coding RNA is filed under the name uncultured fungus. RNAcentral describes it as "sequence contains ITS1". Lineage: Eukaryota; Fungi. The record is from RNAcentral.